CCAAGGAGUCUAACAUGUGCGCGAGUCAUUGGGACUUGUUAAGCCUAAAGGCGCAAUGAAAGUGAAGGUCGGCCUUAGCGUCGACCCAGGGAGGAUGGUUCGCGUUACGAUGCGAGCCCGCACUCCCGGGGCGUCUCGUGCUCAUUGCGAGCAGAGGCGCACCUAGAGCGUACACGUUGGGACCCGAAAGAUGGUGAACUAUGCCUGGUCAGGACGAAGUCAGGGGAAACCCUGAUGGAGGUCCGUAGCGAUUCUGACGUGCAAAUCGAUCGUCGGAACUGGGUAUAGGGGCGAAAGACUAAUCGAACCAUC
RNAcentral lists this ribosomal RNA (312 nucleotides) under Marietta leopardina. RNAcentral's name for it is "eukaryotic LSU rRNA". It matches the Rfam family "Eukaryotic large subunit ribosomal RNA", at positions 666 to 944 of the family's 3401-position model. Lineage: Eukaryota; Metazoa; Arthropoda; Insecta; Hymenoptera; Aphelinidae. The record is from RNAcentral.